This 247-nucleotide ribosomal RNA is filed under the name uncultured bacterium. RNAcentral describes it as "partial 16S ribosomal RNA". It matches the Rfam family "Bacterial small subunit ribosomal RNA", at positions 523 to 769 of the family's 1533-position model. The record is from RNAcentral.
AUACGUAGGUGGCGAGCGUUGUCCGGAUUUACUGGGCGUAAAGGGAGCGUAGGCGGAUUUUUAAGUGAGAUGUGAAAUACUCGGGCUUAACCUGAGUGCUGCAUUUCAAACUGGAAGUCUAGAGUGCAGGAGAGGAGAAGGGAAUUCCUAGUGUAGCGGUGAAAUGCGUAGAGAUUAGGAAGAACACCAGUGGCGAAGGCGGAUUGCUGGACGACAACUGACGGUGAGGCGCGAAAGCGUGGGGAGC